This is a long non-coding RNA of Sorex araneus (European shrew), 1296 nucleotides long. RefSeq lists it as uncharacterized. Lineage: Eukaryota; Metazoa; Chordata; Mammalia; Eulipotyphla; Soricidae. The transcript is spliced from 3 exons. The record is from RefSeq and is a predicted model, not a curated record.
GACAGCCCUAAGCCGAGGGCGGGUUGUGGCUGCACCAGGACACCCGUGGAACGCCCGGGCCCCCUGGAAAGGUGCGGCCUCUGGAAAGCCAGGGGACACCCGUAGGAGCCCGGUGUGGCUGCCAGGUCACUCGCAGAACGUUGACCCGAUUACCCGUGGCAGGGAAAGAAGCUGCAGGCACUCACUGGAGCUGGCCAGGGCGUGAAUGAAGAGAGAAUGAACGGGCCAGAGCGAUAGUGCAGCAGGCAGGGUGUUUGCCUUGCACGGGGCCAACCUGGGUUCGAUCCCCCCUCCCCCCCAUAAGAUCCCCAGAUAAGCAAACAAAAAAGAAUGAACAGUGAAGGCCGCAGAGUCCUCUGUGCUCCAGCUCCAUCCACUGAAGCCUGAAGCCUGAUGUCCGUACAGUGGGGCUGGCCCUCUCCCUUAGGGUCCCCCAGACUCGAACUCUCACUAGCUUCCACACUGCAGGUAUAGGGGGCAGCUGUAGGCCCUCAGCAGACGCUGGACAGCCCCUCCUCUCAUGUCCUGCCCAGCCCCGAGGCCCCUCCUAGGCUAGCUUCCCGGCCCCCACACUGCCCUGCGGGGUUCUCUGUGGAUACCACAUGUAGCUGCACAUCUCAGCUCCCUAACCAGGCCCAACUCUGUGUUCAGGGUGCUGCCUGGCGCAUGGUAGCUACCCCAGACCCCAGGACACAGAUGACAGAGCCACGUGCAGGCUCCCCAGGGAGGUGGCUUUACCACUUCGGAGCUGUGUGACUUUGGGUAAAUUAGUUAGCCUCUCUGGACUUCAGUUCUCUCGCCUAUGAACGAACAGACCUUAGUGAAAUGAGCCAUGACACACCAUGAUGGAGGUUAACGAAAAGAACAGAAACAACUACAAUAAUGAACACGCUCCUGGCCUCCAGCUCCUGCUGCUUCCCCAGCUAAGGAAGCCCCGACUCCAGGACCAAGAGCUAAGAGCUCAUCGGAGAGCGCAGCCCAGGCCCUCUGCAGCAGGCCUCAGGUCAGCCUCGUCUUGCCUGCCUCUGAGGGGGUCCCAAGCUGGCCCACCUGGGCCCUGCCAGGAUGCACUCCAGCCCUAGGCACACGUGCCUCCUGGGAGCACCGGCACCACGCCUGGACUUCAGCCCGUAGGCAAGGGUCGCCCCAUGGAGCCACCAAUGUUUGCUGAGCUGACAGCCGGCUGCCGUCACCCCCGCCAGGGGUGCCUCUUCCACGGCCACCUUGCUCGCCCCCCCCGCCCUCCUUGGCCGGCCCGUGGCCCUGCCUGCUGCCUCUGAACCUACGGACGAGCUG